GAUGAAGAACGUAGUGAAAUGCGAUAAGUAAUGUGAAUUGCAGAAUUCAGUGAAUCAUCGAAUCUUUGAACGCACAUUGCGCCCGCCAGUAUUCUGGCGGGCAUGCCUGUUCGAGCGUCAUUACAACCCUCAGGCCCCCGGGCCUGGCGUUGGGGAUCGGCGGAGCCCCCCGUGGGCACACGCCGUCCCCCAAAUACAGUGGCGGUCCCGCCGCAGCUUCCAUCGCGUAGUAGCUAACACCUCGCAACUGGAGAGCGGCGCGGCCACGCCGUAAAACACCCAACUCUUCUGAAGUUGACCUCGAAUCAGGUAGGAAUACCCGCUGAACUUAAGCAUAUCAAUAAGCGGAGGA
RNAcentral lists this unclassified non-coding RNA (352 nucleotides) under soil metagenome. RNAcentral's name for it is "partial contains 5.8S ribosomal RNA, internal transcribed spacer 2, and large subunit ribosomal RNA". The stretch from base 1 to 120 matches the Rfam family "5.8S ribosomal RNA", at positions 35 to 154 of the family's 154-position model. The record is from RNAcentral.